Molecule: ribosomal RNA, 407 nt
Filed under: uncultured bacterium
Lineage: Bacteria
Description: bacterial SSU rRNA
Rfam family: Bacterial small subunit ribosomal RNA
Source: RNAcentral
UGGGGAAUAUUGCACAAUGGGCGAAAGCCUGAUGCAGCAACGCCGCGUGAAGGAUGAAGGUCUUCGGAUUGUAAACUUCUAUCAGCAGGGAAGAAGAAAGUGACGGUACCUGAAUAAGAAGCUCCGGCUAACUACGUGCCAGCAGCCGCGGUAAUACGUAGGGAGCAAGCGUUAUCCGGAAUUACUGGGUGUAAAGGGUGCGCAGGCGGCCCUGUAAGUCACGAGUGAAAUUUUGAGGCUCAACCUCAAAGCUGCUAGUGAAACUAUAGGGCUAGAGUGUGGGAGAGGAAAGUGGAACUUUGAGUGUAGCGGUGAAAUGCGUAGAGAUUCAAAGGAACACCAGUAGCGAAGGCGGCUUUCUGGACCAUAACUGACGCUCAGGCACGAAAGCGUGGGGAGCAAACAGG